Molecule: long non-coding RNA, 4264 nt
Organism: Triticum dicoccoides
Lineage: Eukaryota; Viridiplantae; Streptophyta; Magnoliopsida; Poales; Poaceae
Exons: 8
Source: RefSeq, a predicted model, not a curated record
UAUGUCCUUAUUUUAAUGGCUCAAUCAUCAAAUGGCGUCAAAAUUGAAUUCCUGAAAGCAAGUUGAAAUGACCUGGGGAUUGGAGAGGGAAAAUGGGAAACAAGAUUCAGUCGUAUGUGUUACUGACCCUUCAUACAGUCCCAACCAAAAAUCCAUCAUCUUCUCCCUCACCCACCACCUGCCACCACCUCCGCUCUUUGAUUUCAUAUUUGGACGGCAAGGGCAUCUUCAGCAGCAUUUAAAUAGGAUUCGUCUGCCCGCUCGACGCCAAGGGAGACCGCAUCACCGUCGCCGUAAAAGGGACUCAACCAGCGCGGCCUCCAGGUUUACUAUGAUGCGCUCAUCAAUGACUCCACCACUGCUUGUUUUGAGGAUGAUGCCUCCAAGAAUGACCAAACCCGUGAGCACGCCGUCCUUGCAUUCAUUCUUGGAGUGAAGCAGAUUAUCUAGUGUUUAAUAAGGUAUACUUGCUACCAUAAGAAUAAGCAGAUUAUCUGGUGUUUAAUAAGGUAUACUUGCUACUAAGAGACCCGUGAGCACGCCAGUAGCACAUAAUUCGUGCUUAUAAUUUAAUAUUGCUAAAUCUUAAGCAUGUUGCCAUGUUUGUUCUCUUAGUAAGCUCCUGAUGUCGCAUUUAUACUCAUGCUGGAUUGCUGGAAAGAUCUCUGGCUCUGUUGACUACUUUAUCAGUAAAUCAUUUUAGACCCGAGUUCACCAAAAAAGGUAACUAAAAUAUAUAUAGUUUUUCGGUAGAUUAUUUGAGGCUGCUUUAUCUAUUAAGUACACGGUUUCCCGCUUUUUCGGGUUUUAAGGUAUACACAAGAGUGCACGUUUUAGUUAUUGUGCUUUCCUUAGCUCAUCGGUGGCGUUCGUGCUAGGGCGAUGAUGAUUAAUCGUGGCUGAAAUAAGUGUGCCUUUGAGCAAUAAUGGCACCUGUGCGUAUCAGGUUGGAUCCUCCCUCUUGUCUCUAGAAUCCUUUUUGAUCCUGUGAUACUUGUUGUUGUCCUUGGAUGAUCAUUCUUGUUGAGUGAUAACCAGGGCAGCUCCACUGUAUAAACAGAUUGAUCUGGUGAUAAGAGAUGACGGGGUAGGUUAUAUGAUCGAGGAAAGGCGAAUCUGAGCCCACUAUGCAAUGAACCCUGAACCCUUUCUGCUUGUAUCCCCUUGUUAGAGUCUGAAGCAAAAUGGAGCUCUCUCGUUCGUUUGGAUUCUGGACCGUUUGAUCAUUUUCCUGAUGCGAUUCCGGCCGUCGGAUCUCGGGCUCGGCUCACGUGAGGCCUCGGAUAUUUACCAGAUCACUGUGAGCUGUCGGAUAAAAUUCCAAUGGCAAUAGAAUGUAUAUACCGUGCCCCCACCAGGGCAUCUGGGUCAUUUCGCUUAGGAGGGCAGGUGUAUAAAAUGAUUGCGGCUUCCUGCGAUGAAAACCUAGCUGCCGCCUCCUCUCUCUCACUCGCUCCUGUAGCUGCCUCCCUCCCUCCCACGCAGGUGGUUCCCAUGGCGACGGCGGCAGCGGCCACGGAGGAGGGCAGCAGACCAGCGGCGCCAGCGAUGGCGUCCGUGGCAGCUAUGCAAUGAACCCUGAACCAUUUUUAUUUGUAUUUAAAGGGGUUGCUUAUUUAUGCUCAAGUGGUGUUCGUGCUAGGGCGAUGAUGAUUACCUUGGCUGGAAUUAUUGUGCCUUUGAGCAAUCAAGGCACCUGUAGGUAUCAAGUUGGAUCCUCCCUCUUGUCUCUAGAAUCCUUUUUGAUCAUGUGAUACUUAUUGUUGUCCUUGGAUGGUCAUUCUUGUUGACUGAUAACCAGGGCAGCUCUACUGUAUAAAGAGAUCGAUCUGGUGAUAAGAGAUGAUGGGGGUAGGUUAUAUGAUCGAGGAAAGGUGAAUCUGAGCCCACUAUGCAAUAAAACUGCAGCUACCUCCCCUAAUGUGUGUAGUAUUGAAGGCAAAAAAGAACUUUUCAUGUCUUGCUACUUUAAAAUUCCAAAAAAGUUCAUUCUUCCUUUGCGGGUUACUUAACCAUGAUUUUUGUUUUGCUUUGGUUCUGGUUGAGAUACUAAAGGUUGUUUAUAUAUGAAAAUAACAAACACUUGUAGUUUUGUAUGCCUCAGCUGUUGCUUAGGAUCCAGUGUUGUAGUGUCUUCGAUCAGUAUGUUCAUAUUGAGAUGUAGGGAUGCAUCAGGCACGUCAACUUUCUUGGCUUGGCGGUUGCGCAAUACUAAUAUUAUGUAUAACUUCACAACAUUGUGAACUAAUGGCCAUCUUAUAGUGCUUUUAUGUUCACUCCUGAUCCUGUCACUAUCACAGGUGUGGUACACACAUAAAGUGGAAUCGAGCGUGACCCGCUGAAAUUAUCAUGAUGCUGCAUUCUUACAAAAAAAACUAAUUAGAGUGUCCUGUUGCGUUAGAUGCUUGAUGUUUUCCUUUAAUCGGAAAGUCGUUCUAGGUAAUUGACCCUUCUCCUUAAAACAUACUUUGAAGAUUUUGAAUGACAUUUUAUUAGAGUAGUUUCCAAAUGCUACCUUACUUAUUUUCCUUUUUUGUUGUUUCUACUAGGUUUAAACUAAAAGGAGAAAUAGCUAUAAAAAUUGUCCUUUAUAUUCUUUGGCAGGCCUUCUGCUCGGUCAAAUCUGAGUUAUGGUAGUUGCUAUAAAUGUCUAGGUUUCAGCUUAAUAUUUGCAUUACAUGCCCGGAGAACUAAUGUUAUGCUUGUACUAAAUUGGAAAAUAGCUGGCUACAUUCGUGUGAUGUUUUAUGAAUUUAUUUUUUAAUAAUUCAUGUGUUGUUUCAUUCCUUGGAAUACAAUUUCAUCUGAUUUAUUACUCCUGAAGAUGGUUCCAUUUGAAUGCGUGAAAUUACAAAAGCUCAAGUUUGUAGUUUUAGUCAUAGGUCAACCAGGGCACUAUUUCUAAUGAAGGUAAUGUUUCUAUAUGGUUUUUACUGUUCGGUGGUACAUUUAGAUAGUUAGCAUCGUCCGUUGACUAUGUGUUUUGUACCCUGUUGUUCCAGGGUGAGAUUUCCUGUGAUUUUGUGGAAGUAGAUGAUUGAUAGAGACUCGGAGGAGGUAAUUGAUAGAUAUAGACGUCGUGGUUCCUAUUUCUUCAUGUACUAUUUUUCUUCCAAUUUUCUUUUAAUUACAAGCUACCUCUGCCAUUGUAGUCAUUUCUUUAUUUCAUACCAGUCUCUGUUGACUACUAUGUAACCAUGCAUGGGUGGCUUAAAUGGCAUAAGUUCUUAUUCAGUUAGAAAAAGGCAACAAAAACAACCAGGGUAAUCUUGCUCUAGAAAUUGCAUGACAUGUGCUUAUUCUCAUUUGUACAUAUGUGCGAGUUGAGUUCAAGAAAUUCUUGCAAAUGCAUUUUUUGGAUAACAGUCGUCGGCACAUAACCAUUUACUGAUUUAUAUUAAACCCUAUGGAAGCCAAGAUAUAUUCCAGGUUUAGGUUCAUGUCCAAUAUAUCUCAUUUCACGGAAUAUAAAUUUUCUUGGAAGCUAUAUCCUCCCAUGGUCCAUUGUUUUAUGCAUUGUUCAUGUUAACUUGGCUAAGAAGUGUUCAGGGAAGCUUUGAGUUUUGGUUGUUUCAAAAUAUACACAUCAAAGAAGAUGUUAUAUACCUUUUGCCAUUUAGCGGUGCUUAGGGAGUGAACAAGAUCCACUCUAAAAAGCUCCGGCAUCUGUCCACAAAGUUACCAGUGCAAAGCAGAUGGAAAAGAAUAAGGCAUCGAAGAAUGUUGUGCAUGUGCCUCUGCUUCCUCCUGCUACUAAUGAGGUCACGGAUCCAGUUGUUGAUCCUAAAACACAGGAUGUUGAUGGGGUUACUUUAAGGGGUGUUGAUGCAGAGGAGGGAGGCGAGGAUCCCAGUGCCAGAAAAAGGCAUAAGCUCUAGAGCAGCUGACGCCGAUUGAUCCACUCUUUUGGUCCAUGACGGUUGGCUAUGGACGUACGACGAUACCUGGAUUUGCUGAUAUCCGUGGUGCUUCAUUACGUGCUCAACGAUGAAGCCCCUUCGUCGUACGGACCUGUCUACAUGAAGACCUGUCACUUAGUAUAUAAUCUGCUGCUUUAUUUCCUUUAGGGGGUAUGUGCCGUGGGUACUUUUAAAUUUGAACAAAACCUACCUUAUUAUUACCUGUUUGCUUGAAUGUGUGUCGCCGACGAUGUACUGGAGUAUGAGCAGACGCAAACUUGUGGUGCUUAUGGCUGUUGUUGGCAAAUGACUUAAAUAUGUCUAUGUGUGCCUGUUGUCCAUUUCUUUAAUUACAUCUGGGAUGA